UAACAGCCGCAUCUUGACGGCAGUCGGCUGUCACCAAAGGUCCAGGACAAUUAAGCUGCACUUCUCUGCAGGUUGUAGAAGACAGGGAGGCUUCACAUGGAACCUUUCUGCUACCUCAGUGCUCCGGCUGGCGCAGGAGCAUUCUCAAUACUAUGACGCAAAUGGUGAGGCCUUAAGAGGCUGUGAAAAGGCUCAAUGCCUUGACAGCGGCGCUAGGACAUGUGUAUAGGGGCUUAGCUAUGUCCUUCUCGUGGCAUUUUAUACGCAUUUUUUGGGGGAUAUGUGUUGCAGCUUCUGCACCAUCUGUAGAUUUUGCAUGUCUAGCUGUAAGACUACAAUGCACAUCACUUGCCUCACAAGCCGGGGCUGGUGGAAUAUGAGGAGGUGUGCAGAUGCGUGAGGCAAGAAAUAGAAAUAGGCAGGUGCCCGACUAGGAUAGUGUCGCAUAGUAUUGUAUCAAUAUGACGAGGUUACCGCAAGAGUAUUGUACUAUCGCUUUGGUGAAAGACAUUAGAGGAGAGGAUCAUGGCUUGGUCAGAGCUGGUUAUAGAUGGUUAGAACAACAAUGCAUUGGUGCAGAUGACAUUUCAUCGCGCAGAAUCAGCGCGCCAUUGUUCUAGGGUUAUUGGACAUGAGGAGAUGCGGUGAACAUUCACCUGCGUUGCUAGGGUCACCUGCAGACGCAUUUGGGAUCACUACAUUCAAGGGUCUGUAUAUAGGAGUAGGACUACUACACUGUGUACGUACCUGCUGAGAAUGGGCGGGAUUGUCAGGACAUCUGGUGACCGUUAGUGCAUGUCUGACUAGGUCUGAAUGCGGUAUGCAUAUCUCAUGUUCACAUGAUGUCACUUAGGGCUCUCGUUGACAUCAUGGUUGCUUCUCAGCAGAGCAUGCAGCACAAGCAUGCGUGCAAGAUAUUUUUUGAAAGGUAUAUUGCACAACAAACAGAUCUGGGAGGCCUCUAGAGGCCUCCCAGGAAGCUUAUGCUUAGGAGCUGCCCAGUGAGUAUAUGCGCUAUUGGAGGGCGACUUGCAGGUGCAUGCCAGUUACAAUAUAAUUACAGUACUAGAAUCAAUUGGGACUCUGGAGCCGGUGCGUGCACUAAUCCACAUGUGUACACACUAUGGUAGAUCUGGCAGAUCUGAAGUGCACAUCGGCUAGAACCAGCUACUUA
This 1174-nucleotide long non-coding RNA is filed under the name Coccomyxa subellipsoidea. RNAcentral describes it as "long non-coding RNA (CSUB_LNC000082)". Lineage: Eukaryota; Viridiplantae; Chlorophyta; Trebouxiophyceae; Coccomyxaceae. The record is from RNAcentral.